UCUACUCAACACCCGGUCUAUUGAUCGCACACCACACGAACUCGGUUUGUAGCCCACGUCACGGUUCUUCUCUCUCACCCAUCACGCUUCCCUCGGCCAUUCCUCUUCUCCCUCAGACUCGAAACGAACCUCCCUCACCCCCAGUUCGUUGCAACACCCCAGCGCCCCACAGACCACACGAAGCAACGACAUCUCUUCUCCCUCUCCCCGAUCGUCAGACUCUUCCCUCACCCAUCACUCCCUGACGCCCCUCACCCAAGCCCAUUCACGUCUCUCACCGCUGAAACCCUAGAAGAUCUCUUCUCCCCACCCCCAACAAAAAUGUGAAUAAAUAUUGGACCAGUUUUUCUGUCUUCCUCGUUUCACUUUCUUCCUCUUUAGCCCCCCUCUUUUCACACUUCUCUUUUGUACCCAUUUUCUUAAUCCUUUUCAUUCUUCACAACUCGAACCAUGGAGGAGGCUAAUGUGAUGGAAGCUAAAGAUGGAACACUUGCUGUGGCUUCUACUUUUACUGGCGGUAAUUCCAAAGUUGUCUUGUGCCCGAAAUGAAGACUCGAGAGUUAGUUGUAUAUAGAACCAAUUGAAUACUUCUGGGUGGUACUGGAGUCAGUUGAUCUCUUGUAAUACUUCUGAAGUCCAAGAAUGUAAUGGCAUUUUCAGUUUGGUAGUUGUAAUAUUUUGUAUAUGAUUAUGUAAUAUGAGCUUUACUUGUAAUAUUUUCAUUUGGAUGACAGCCGUUA
Juglans microcarpa x Juglans regia is the source of this 740-nucleotide long non-coding RNA. RefSeq lists it as uncharacterized. The transcript is spliced from 2 exons. The record is from RefSeq and is a predicted model, not a curated record. NCBI's taxonomy places the organism in Eukaryota, Viridiplantae, Streptophyta, Magnoliopsida, Fagales, Juglandaceae.